This 66-nucleotide transfer RNA is filed under the name Dendrothrips minowai. RNAcentral describes it as "tRNA-Trp". Lineage: Eukaryota; Metazoa; Arthropoda; Insecta; Thysanoptera; Thripidae. The record is from RNAcentral.
UGAGGUUUUAGAUUAAUAAAAUCAUUAGUUUUCAAAACUAAAAUUAAGAAAAAUUCUUAAAACUCA